Molecule: ribosomal RNA, 2918 nt
Filed under: Bacillus cereus
Lineage: Bacteria; Bacillati; Bacillota; Bacilli; Caryophanales; Bacillaceae
Description: bacterial LSU rRNA
Rfam family: Bacterial large subunit ribosomal RNA
Source: RNAcentral
UUAAGUUAGAAAGGGCGCACGGUGGAUGCCUUGACACUAGGAGUCGAUGAAGGACGGGACUAACGCCGAUAUGCUUCGGGGAGCUGUAAGUAAGCUUUGAUCCGAAGAUUUCCGAAUGGGGAAACCCACCAUACGUAAUGGUAUGGUAUCCUUAUCUGAAUACAUAGGGUAAGGAAGACAGACCCAGGGAACUGAAACAUCUAAGUACCUGGAGGAAGAGAAAGCAAAUGCGAUUUCCUGAGUAGCGGCGAGCGAAACGGAACAUAGCCCAAACCAAGAGGCUUGCCUCUUGGGGUUGUAGGACAUUCUAUACGGAGUUACAAAGGAACGAGGUAGACGAAGCGACCUGGAAAGGUCCGUCGUAGAGGGUAACAACCCCGUAGUCGAAACUUCGUUCUCUCUUGAAUGUAUCCUGAGUACGGCGGAACACGUGAAAUUCCGUCGGAAUCUGGGAGGACCAUCUCCCAAGGCUAAAUACUCCCUAGUGAUCGAUAGUGAACCAGUACCGUGAGGGAAAGGUGAAAAGCACCCCGGAAGGGGAGUGAAAGAGAUCCUGAAACCGUGUGCCUACAAAUAGUCAGAGCCCGUUAAUGGGUGAUGGCGUGCCUUUUGUAGAAUGAACCGGCGAGUUACGAUCCCGUGCGAGGUUAAGCUGAAGAGGCGGAGCCGCAGCGAAAGCGAGUCUGAAUAGGGCGUUUAGUACGUGGUCGUAGACCCGAAACCAGGUGAUCUACCCAUGUCCAGGGUGAAGUUCAGGUAACACUGAAUGGAGGCCCGAACCCACGCACGUUGAAAAGUGCGGGGAUGAGGUGUGGGUAGCGGAGAAAUUCCAAUCGAACCUGGAGAUAGCUGGUUCUCCCCGAAAUAGCUUUAGGGCUAGCCUUAAGUGUAAGAGUCUUGGAGGUAGAGCACUGAUUGGACUAGGGGUCCUCAUCGGAUUACCGAAUUCAGUCAAACUCCGAAUGCCAAUGACUUAUCCUUAGGAGUCAGACUGCGAGUGAUAAGAUCCGUAGUCAAAAGGGAAACAGCCCAGACCGCCAGCUAAGGUCCCAAAGUGUGUAUUAAGUGGAAAAGGAUGUGGAGUUGCUUAGACAACUAGGAUGUUGGCUUAGAAGCAGCCACCAUUUAAAGAGUGCGUAAUAGCUCACUAGUCGAGUGACUCUGCGCCGAAAAUGUACCGGGGCUAAAUACACCACCGAAGCUGCGGAUUGAUACCAAUGGUAUCAGUGGUAGGGGAGCGUUCUAAGGACAGUGAAGUCAGACCGGAAGGACUGGUGGAGUGCUUAGAAGUGAGAAUGCCGGUAUGAGUAGCGAAAGACGGGUGAGAAUCCCGUCCACCGAAUGCCUAAGGUUUCCUGAGGAAGGCUCGUCCGCUCAGGGUUAGUCAGGACCUAAGCCGAGGCCGACAGGCGUAGGCGAUGGACAACAGGUUGAUAUUCCUGUACCACCUCUUUAUCGUUUGAGCAAUGGAGGGACGCAGAAGGAUAGAAGAAGCGUGCGAUUGGUUGUGCACGUCCAAGCAGUUAGGCUGAUAAGUAGGCAAAUCCGCUUAUCGUAAAGGCUGAGCUGUGAUGGGGAAGCUCCUUAUGGAGCGAAGUCUUUGAUUCCCCGCUGCCAAGAAAAGCUUCUAGCGAGAUAAAAGGUGCCUGUACCGCAAACCGACACAGGUAGGCGAGGAGAGAAUCCUAAGGUGUGCGAGAGAACUCUGGUUAAGGAACUCGGCAAAAUGACCCCGUAACUUCGGGAGAAGGGGUGCUUUCUUAACGGAAAGCCGCAGUGAAUAGGCCCAAGCGACUGUUUAGCAAAAACACAGCUCUCUGCGAAGCCGUAAGGCGAAGUAUAGGGGGUGACACCUGCCCGGUGCUGGAAGGUUAAGGAGAGGGGUUAGCGUAAGCGAAGCUCUGAACUGAAGCCCCAGUAAACGGCGGCCGUAACUAUAACGGUCCUAAGGUAGCGAAAUUCCUUGUCGGGUAAGUUCCGACCCGCACGAAAGGUGUAACGAUUUGGGCACUGUCUCAACCAGAGACUCGGUGAAAUUAUAGUACCUGUGAAGAUGCAGGUUACCCGCGACAGGACGGAAAGACCCCGUGGAGCUUUACUGUAGCCUGAUAUUGAAUUUUGGUACAGUUUGUACAGGAUAGGCGGGAGCCAUUGAAACCGGAGCGCUAGCUUCGGUGGAGGCGCUGGUGGGAUACCGCCCUGACUGUAUUGAAAUUCUAACCUACGGGUCUUAUCGACCCGGGAGACAGUGUCAGGUGGGCAGUUUGACUGGGGCGGUCGCCUCCUAAAGUGUAACGGAGGCGCCCAAAGGUUCCCUCAGAAUGGUUGGAAAUCAUUCGUAGAGUGCAAAGGCAUAAGGGAGCUUGACUGCGAGACCUACAAGUCGAGCAGGGACGAAAGUCGGGCUUAGUGAUCCGGUGGUUCCGCAUGGAAGGGCCAUCGCUCAACGGAUAAAAGCUACCCCGGGGAUAACAGGCUUAUCUCCCCCAAGAGUCCACAUCGACGGGGAGGUUUGGCACCUCGAUGUCGGCUCAUCGCAUCCUGGGGCUGUAGUCGGUCCCAAGGGUUGGGCUGUUCGCCCAUUAAAGCGGUACGCGAGCUGGGUUCAGAACGUCGUGAGACAGUUCGGUCCCUAUCCGUCGUGGGCGUAGGAAAUUUGAGAGGAGCUGUCCUUAGUACGAGAGGACCGGGAUGGACGCACCGCUGGUGUACCAGUUGUUCUGCCAAGGGCAUAGCUGGGUAGCUAUGUGCGGAAGGGAUAAGUGCUGAAAGCAUCUAAGCAUGAAGCCCCCCUCAAGAUGAGAUUUCCCAUAGCGUAAGCUAGUAAGAUCCCUGAAAGAUGAUCAGGUUGAUAGGUUCGAGGUGGAAGCAUGGUGACAUGUGGAGCUGACGAAUACUAAUAGAUCGAGGACUUAACC